Molecule: ribosomal RNA, 301 nt
Filed under: uncultured bacterium
Lineage: Bacteria
Description: partial 16S ribosomal RNA
Rfam family: Bacterial small subunit ribosomal RNA
Source: RNAcentral
CAGUCGCCGCGGUAAUACGUAGGUGGCAAGCGUUGUCCGGAAUUAUUGAGCGUAAAGGGCUCGCAGGCGGUUUCUUAAGUCUGAUGUGAAAGCCCCCGGCUCAACCGGGGAGGGUCAUUGGAAACUGGGAAACUUGAGUGCAGAAGAGGAGAGUGGAAUUCCACGUGUAGCGGUGAAAUGCGUAGAGAUGUGGAGGAACACCAGUGGCGAAGGCGACUCUCUGGUCUGUAACUGACGCUGAGGAGCGAAAGCGUGGGGAGCGAACAGGAUUAGAUACCCGAGUAGUCCCUGUCUCUUAUAC